GGAAACAGGUUAAUAUUCCUGUACUUGGUGUUACUGCGAAGGGGGGACGGAGAAGGCUAUGUUAGCCGGGCGACGGUUGUCCCGGUUUAAGCAUGUAGGCGGAGGUUCCAGGUAAAUCCGGUACCUUUUAACGCUGAGGUGUGAUGACGAGGCACUACGGUGCUGAAGUAACAAAUGCCCUGCUUCCAGGAAAAGCCUCUAAGCAUCAGGUAACAUUGAAUCGUACCCCAAACCGACACAGGUGGUCAGGUAGAGAAUACCAAGGCGCUUGAGAGAACUCGGGUGAAGGAACUAGGCAAAAUGGUGCCGUAACUUCGGGAGAAGGCACGCUGAUAUGUAGGUGAA
Molecule: ribosomal RNA, 345 nt
Filed under: Klebsiella aerogenes
Lineage: Bacteria; Pseudomonadati; Pseudomonadota; Gammaproteobacteria; Enterobacterales; Enterobacteriaceae
Description: partial 23S ribosomal RNA
Rfam family: Bacterial large subunit ribosomal RNA
Source: RNAcentral